UCUUGGANUGAACCAACCUGUGGGCGAAAGGGCGGNUUUAACCAGGAACACGUUCGAACGGUUGAGGGAUGAAAGCUGGGGGGAGCAAACCGGAUUAGAUACCCGGGUAGUCCCAGCUGUAAACGAUGCAGACUCGGUGAUGCACUGGCUUUUGGCCAGUGCAGUGCCGCAGGGAAGCCGUUAAGUUUGCCGCCUGGGAAGUACGUACGCAAGUAUGAAACUUAAAGGAAUUGGCGGGGGAGCACCACAAGGGGUGAAGCCUGCGGUUCAAUUGGAUUCAACGCCGGG
Molecule: ribosomal RNA, 288 nt
Filed under: uncultured crenarchaeote
Lineage: Archaea; Thermoproteati; Thermoproteota
Description: partial 16S ribosomal RNA
Rfam family: Archaeal small subunit ribosomal RNA
Source: RNAcentral